CCUACGGGAGGCAGCAGUGAGGAAUAUUGGUCAAUGGACGAGAGUCUGAACCAGCCAAGUAGCGUGAAGGAUGACUGCCCUAUGGGUUGUAAACUUCUUUUAUAUGGGAAUAAAAUGUUCCACGUGUGGGAUUUUGUAUGUACCAUAUGAAUAAGGAUCGGCUAACUCCGUGCCAGCAGCCGCGGUAAUACGGAGGAUCCGAGCGUUAUCCGGAUUUAUUGGGUUUAAAGGGAGCGUAGAUGGAUUGUUAAGUCAGUUGUGAAAGUUUGCGGCUCAACCGUAAAAUUGCAGUUGAAACUGGCAGUCUUGAGUACAGUAGAGGUGGGCGGAAUUCGUGGUGUAGCGGUGAAAUGCUUAGAUAUCACGAAGAACUCCGAUUGCGAAGGCAGUUCACUGGACUGCAACUGACACUGAGGCGCGAAAGUGUGGGUAUCAAACAGGAUUAGAUACCCCAGUAGUC
RNAcentral lists this ribosomal RNA (460 nucleotides) under uncultured bacterium. RNAcentral describes it as "partial 16S ribosomal RNA". It matches the Rfam family "Bacterial small subunit ribosomal RNA", at positions 338 to 795 of the family's 1533-position model. The record is from RNAcentral.